CCAUACUUUUUCCCUUAUAUCAAUUGAAAUAUUUAUGCUUAAACCAAAACAUUAAAAUUAAGAAAUAUCAACAUUUCAUUAACCGUGAAAAAUACUACGACAGAGUAGUAUCAUAUGUCAUCAAGCUAAAUUAGAACAUCGUUAACCGUCUAUAUUACUCAACUAUUAUAUUGUCAUAACACAUCCACUUCAAUAAAAAUGAAUCUCAAUGGUUGUCACUGGGAUUACUAGCGCCAGAAGAUCUUCUUGCAUCCGUCAGUGAAACGAGACCACUAGCUGCAUCACUUGGUUGCACCAAAAAGUAAAAAAAAUACAACUAUUAAGAGGAGUAUCAGGAUUGAGCAUCAAAUUACUCUCUAAAUAAAAAAUUGAGCAUUAAACUAGUAUAUAAAUAAUAUUAAUGUUUUAUUAGAACAUAAAGAUUGCAGGAAGUACUUCAAGGAUGAUGCAUUGCGAUCCAAAAAGUCUAAGAGAAUUGGGCAUCAAGAAUAGAGGAACAAAUGGAUCACACAGAAGAAGUGUCUCAAGAAGUCAAGUCACAUCAUAGAGGCCCAGAAAGCCUAAGAGAAUUGGGCAUCAAAGGACUGGUGCGGAUUGGAAAUGACUUUAUUCCAUUGUAAAACUGCCCAGAUUAAGAAGUGAGCACUAUAGUCUAAGAGAUACAGGAAGUCAGACAUUUGAUAAUGCAAAAUAUCAAGGACAUUCUCUUCUCAUCAUGAUAGAAUGGGUCUGCACCGGGAGAGAGUAGCUGGAUUGAGGAUCAAAGAUCAGUCAUUCCAUAUGUUCAAAUCCUUGAGGAAGAGAAAAUGGGAAUAGGGAUUUUAACUAACCAUGUGUUCUUUUUUGCAGAAAACGUUACUGUACGCAUUCCAUGGCAUUCAUUACGACUUCUAUGGGUGGUAUUAGCACUUGGUGCUCAUUCCUUUGAAGAAGAAAAUGAGACAUGCACAAGCAUGAAAUUGAUUUUCUGGAAAAAUACAAGGACAAGGCUUCUGCCAUAUUGGCUUUGUCAUACAUGUAUGGGCAACAUAUAAGGCAUAUGGCACAAAGCCUUAAUGUUUCUAAUUAGUGCAACUCAAAAACAAUCCAAAAAAGCAGACAAAAAUAGAAGAGACAGCACAAGCAAACGAAGGAAAAAAGUACAUAGUUGGAGGGAAACAUCAUAUUGUAGGGUUCAAUUGGCACUAUUUUAGAAAAUUAGCUUUCAAUCAGCAUGAGCAAGGAAAAUCAAGCAAAAAGUGUGGCAAAAGCUGGGCACUUAACUGGACAUGGCAAUUUCAAUUCAUUUUCUUGGAACUUAAGCUUAUACUUACCUAGGUGGAUGGUUACAGUUAGAAGCAUGCAGGAUAAAACAUAUACCAUAGGAGCACAAUUAGAGGUUUUAUAGACAGUAAUGAGCAAGGAGCAAAGGCAAGAUGAGUACGUAUGCAAGGAAUUCGCGGCACUGGCGAUUACGUGCGAUAAAAGGAAGCUGCAAAUACAGUGCAAGCGCAAAUAUGAGCAAUGGGACGUUGGAGAUGGUAUGACAAUAUUCAGGACAGUACAAAAGAAAGGAAAAGGAUCAAAAUUCAACAGCAAAUGGACAAUAAAGAUACUACACAAGGAAAAUAGCUAUUGUUGCAAUAUUAAACGAUUGUAGCUAAUUCCACCACUGAGUGAGAGUAAAACUAAGUUUUUUGUUCCCUGCCUGUUUCAGUUUCCUUUCUUGUUAAUGGCAACACAUGUCCCUAGUUGUCUUAACACGUCCUCAGACAAACAGCCCCUAUUUUUGAAUGAAUGUUUACCGACAUCAUAAUUUUAAUAUUGAUAUAAUAUUAUGGAUCAAUUUCCAUGCUACGAUAGUUUGUCCUAGUUCAUGUAAACAUAGCAGAAUAGUAUGUACAAACACGAAGGGUUAUCAUAUAAGCUAACUGAAGUAAAAAAGUUGUCCAAUGUGUGUCACUUUUACAAGAUCUAAUCAACUGAUAAUUAGAAAUGGACGGAAGCUAAUGAGUUGAAAUAAACUCAACUAAUAACAAGCAAUCAACAAGAGCUAAUGAAUUGAAAUAAACUUAACAUACAAACAACAAUUGACAAUAGCAUUUACCAUUGUAGGAGGAGAAGCAAAGAUCCUAGCAAAUUGUUCUAGUAUUGACCCUUCCUUCAUUAUCAUGUAUGCUUUAAGAGUAUGCAUCAAUUGAUUGUACUUCUUUUGGCAUCCAGAAGAAGCACAAUCAACAUUAUUACUCACAAUUCUAAUAUUACCAAGAUGAAGAUUUGUCUCUUUGAAAGUAUUGCUUAGAGUAGCUCCAAAUCCCAAAUAUCUCACCCUUCCGGGAUGCUCUUUGCCUAGCACCUUACCAACAGUAUCAUAUGGAGAAAUUUCAGACUCAUCAACUGUACUUUCACUCACUACUAGCUCAAUUCUUUCCUAAACACAAUACACAUCAAAAAAAUCUGAGCCAACAUUAUACAGUUGAAACAACCUUGAAAGCAACAGUUGAAGCCUUCAACUAUUUCUCACAACAGGCUUUAUAUUGUAACUUACACAUAUUUCUUUUGCCUCCUCAUUUACAUAUGAUCCAUCUUUUUUCGUAUGUGUAGCAAGAUAAAGUUGUGCUCAUCCAAGCUUAUUUCUUGUCUUAGCCGUCUAUGUAUGAAAUCAAAAAUAAGUCAAAAUAGUUUAAUUAAAGUAAAAAAAAUAGAUACAAUAUCUAAAAUUUAAAUAGUAAAGUAAGGUAAAUAAUGUGACAUCUUUCACCAUUUCAUCCCAUCUUCUAGAAUUAGGUUUGGAGCCACCGAUGUGUGAAACUGUUUGUUUCUUCCACUUUUCAGCAUUUCUUUUACACAUAUUCUAACAAUAAGAUACAUUUCACUCAAUUAUAUAAGUGAAUAAUCAUAUUUAUAUGCAUUUCAAUCUGGCGUUUCAAAAAAAUACCUGAGUUUCUUCUUUAUAACGGUGGUUUACAAAGGAAGUGGUCCGGAGUAAUACCUACGGGAACAUUAUCCAUUAUCUCAUCUUUGGUUUUAAGUGGGUCUUUAAACUCAUCCCACAACUUAUGCCUACUUGAAGCCCAUUUCUUUAAAAUAGAGCGAUAAAAAUAUCCUCGUGAAACUUCCUCAAUAGUCAUAAAACAUAAAUGAGACGUCAAAAAUAAAAUUAGGUUAGUUUAUCUUUAUAUACAAAUAUAAAAACAGAAGACAAAAUAGAGAUAUAGUGAUAAAGAUAUAGAACUUAUACCUUUAUAAUGUUAUUAAAGCAGUCGUUAAAGUAUGAUUUAGGCAUAUCCGGCUAUUUAUCAAAGCCAAUUGGAAAUAUGGUACAGUUAGUUGCUAAAAGGCCACAUACGCCUGCAAGAAGGCCUUGUGCUUCACCAAUCAGAUCCAAGCAAUCAAACUCCACCACAACACGUUCUCCUUGAGGUAAAUUUAAUGCUUCUCUAGUCUUCAAUUUGAGCCUUUUGGUAUUUCCAUGUGAAUCUUUAACAAAUAAAAAUAAAAGCAAAAAAGUGAAGGUAAAAGAUAUGGUAUAGAGAGGUCUCAGGAGUAGUCGAAUUGUCUUCUUCAACAAUGUAACCUUCAGCUAUGGAACCUUCUAGUUGAGCCUUAUUACCUACGAGGGACUUAAAAUGACCUAAUAAUCCAUAACAUAAAAUGAAACAUGUUUAGAAUAAGCACUUAACUUGAAUUAAUAUUACAUACAUCAAAAUUCCGAAUAAGAAAAAUUAUAUCUUUUAACAAAAUACAUCCACCUGUAAUAUACCGGACCACCUUGUAUUGCUUUAUUUACUAGAUGGAGAGUUAAACGGACCAUUACAAUAAAGAACGAUGAGUAUAAUAUCUCCAAGUGGCAAAGUGUGAGAAUAAUACGAUCUUGUAACAUUUCUAGAUCCGCCAAACUCAAACUUUUAAGACAAAGUUCUCUGAAAAAAGAAGAAAGCUCUACUAAGACUGCAACAACCUCCUUUGGCAGCAUAUUGCGAACUGAUAUUGGUAGCAAUUGCUCUAUAAUAAUGUGACAAUCACGACUCUUUAAUCCAAAGAUUCUGCUUUGGUCCGGAUCAAUGCAACCUAAAAUAUUACUUGAGUAACCAUCUGGCACUGAAAUAUUCUUUAAAGUUGUGAGGAAAGCCACUUUCUUUUCCUUUGAAAUGGUAAACAUAGCAAGCCAACACUCAUCAUUCUCAUCAGGACAAAGAUCACGCCUUAUACCCAUAUCUUGAAGAUCUUUUCGUGCCUUAAUAUUAUCUUUUCACUUGUCUUUAUCAUUGAGCAAAGAAUAUAUAAUAUUGUCAAACACAUUCUUUUCAAUGUGCAUAACGUUUAAAUUGUGGUGCAACGAGUUGAACUCCCAAUAUGGAAGAUUAAAGAAUAUGGUUCUUUCCUCCAUUGUUGUGUUGCGCCUUGCCUAAUAUUUCUUUGUCUAGAUCUUUUUCUUCUCUCACUCAACUCGGCCGGUUUUCCAAAUGUAACAUCAAUAUCUUUCACUUGCGGCAUAUCAGAUCCAGAUAACUUUCUCUGUGGGUUUCUUUCUUCCAUAUUUCCAUCAAAGUGAUGCUUCAUCAGUCUAAAACUAUGAUUCCUUGCUAAAAAUCUACGAUGACCAAUAAAGCACCACUUUCUACUAUGGCAAAACCGACAAGGUUCUGCAUCAAAAUUACAAGUGGAACAUGUUAAACCAGUAUGUGAGUUCCAACCAGAUAAGAUAUCGAGUCUAGGAAAGUCACUAAUUGUCCAUAUACGAUCAUCUCGCAACCUAAACAUCUCUUUCUUUGAUGAAUCAAAUGUUUCUACACCUUCACUGUACAACUCAUUCAAAUCCUUAAUAAGGGGUUGUCGGAAAAUAUCUAUGUUAUUUCCCGCCAUAUGUGGACCAGAAAUGAUCAUUGAGAGAAUAAAAUUGGGUUGUUUCAUACACAACCAAGGAUGAAGGUUGUAUGGAACUAAAAUGACUGGCCAAAUGCUAUAACUAGUACUCAUCGUGCCAAAAGGGUUGAAGCCAUCACUAGCUAGGGCAAGGUGAACAUUCCGAGGAUCAAAGUCAAAUUCAGGAAAAGUUAUAUCAAACCUCUUCCAUGCCUCACCAUCUCUAGGAUGCCUCAUGAUUUCAUCUUUGUUAGUAUCAUCAGCAUGCCAUCUCAUAUAUUUUGCUAUUCUAGAGCAUAUGAAGAAUCUCUGCAACCUCGAUUUUAAUGGAAAGUAACACAAAAUCUUUGCAGGCUUCUUAGUUUUCUUCUUGGUUUUCUUCUUAUAUGUAGCAGACACAAGAUCUCCAUUUAUCUUCUUGUUAGGCUUCCACCUAGAAGUGUGAAAAUACUUACAUGUUUCCUCAUUAGCAUCAUUCCCCCAAAAUAACAUACAAUCAUUUGGACAUGCAUCUAUCUUGAUAUAAUCAAGACAAAGCUUGUUGAUAUUUUUCUUGGCCUCAUAAAAGGAAUGAGGGAUCCUUGCAAAUGUAAAUGCAUCCAUCAACAAAUCUAGUAUCAUGGUCAUUCCCUUGUCACUCAGCCCGGACAAAUAUUUUACGUGAUACAAUUUUAAUAAAAAUUCUAGUUUUGAGUACUUGGACCCUUCAUACAAUUCUUGACUUCCAUCUCUAAGCAACUCGAAAAAGUCUUUAUCAUUUGAAGCAGACUAAUCAUUUGACCUUUCUUAGCUACCCGCUACUUGCUACGGACCUAAAACAACCCCGGCGUGCCUUAGGCCUUUUUGCCUCAUAAAAAGAAUGAGGGAUCUAUGCAAAUGUAAAUGCGUCCCUCAACAAAUCUAGUAUCAUGGUCAUUCCCUUGUCACUCAGUCCAGACAAACAUUUUACGUGAUACAAUUUUAAUAAAAGUUCUAGUUUUGAGUGCUUGGAUCCUUCAUACAAUUCUUGACUUCUAUCUCUAAGCAACUCGAAAAAGUCUUUAUCAUUUGAAGCAGGCUCAUCAUUUAACCUUUCUUCACCACCCGCUACUUGCGAAGGACUUACAUCAACCCCAUCGUGCCUUAGGCCUCCAAAUGCUUCAUUGAUCAAUAAUUCUACUGGAUUUUCAGGAGGUAAUGUAUCUUGUAUAACCACAUUAUUUAUAGAAUUAGGCAGUAUAUUUCUUUCACCAUGAUUACUCCAAGUGAUAUUAUUUUCUGGGAAUGGUUUGGAAAUCAAAUGAUCGAGCGCUACCUCUCUAUUCUGCCACUUUGCAAAUCCACAUUUAGGACAAGAACACUUUAUUCUAUCUCCAACAACAGCAUUAGCAAAUCCAAAAUCUAAAAAUUGGUUUAAACCAAAUAGAUAUUACGUGGUGUUUCUUGCCUUUCUAAUCCAAGAUUAAUCCACAGAAAAGUAGUAACUUUCAAGUCAAGCUGAUGAACCUUUCAGAAUAUAAAGAGAAAAUAUCAGUUCUUUAUUAUUAGAAUACAAAAUAUUAACUAUUGGCAAUUCUUUAAAAGUGAAAAACAAAUUUCAUAAACUGAUUUCCCAAAAUCAAAGAAACUUUUUUUUAUUUGGAUUGAGGUGAUCUUAAAUGGAGCAACAUUCACAGUAAGGAUACAUAGCUUGGGAUUGAGGUGUAGUAGUAAUUGUUCUUCUUUUCCAUUGGAUGAUUUUCUUAAAUUUAACUUUUCUAAAUCAGCUAAUAUGCACUUACUAUUGUCUCCACUAACUUAUAGUAAAUUUAAGAUUUGGGAUGCCAAAAAUAUUGAAUCAUUUGUUGAUUUGAGAUUUUGGAAACUUCUAUAAGCAAAGUUCAUUCAUAAGUUGUGCUGCUUUAAGGAAAAACUAGUGUUGCCUUGAGUAUGGAAAAUUUAAUGUAAUUUUUUAUGCUUUCGGUGAAACUCAUUUUUUCUUAAAGCUGAUGGGGGUCACAAAGAAAUUUCAUUAAUUACCUUAAGCGUCAUUUGUGCAUUUUUAUAGAAUCAGCAACCAUGUAUCUACAGUAUAUAUCUAAAACUUGUAAACGUGGUUCAUAAAGUAUGAGUGUCAAUCUAUAUUUCUAUAAAUUUAACUUACAGAAUUGCAAAGAGAACCAUUGUUGUAUUAUCUUAUUACUCAUAGUUAAAUAGAUAAAACUAAGCAACCAAGAUCUACAUCAUUUUGCCAACAAAUUAAAGAUAAAGUCAACAUUCUUCAAAGUUAUUUGGUUUCUUUCCCUUCUUUCUCAUCGUUACAAGCAAAAGCAAGUUAUUUGGUUUACAAGAAAAGAAAAUAAGGAAAAAGCACACAAAAAAUCAUACAGAUCGACCAUUUAAUACACACAAAAACUCAAUAUCAAACACUAUUUAAUCAUACACACAAAAAUUCAAAAUUAAUAGAAUACCCAUAAGGGGAAAUAAGAAAAGAAAGAGAAAAAUCAAACCUGGGAGGUGUAAAGCAGUGUCGAUUGAAGCGGAGAAAUUCAAUUGAAACAGACCUUUAAUUAAAGUGGAGAACUUCGAAAAAAGAAGCAGAGUUCUUUGAAUAAUGGAGGUGUAAAACUAUUAAGCAGAGGAAUUCAAAUAAGCGGUGUUGUUUUGAAGGCGACGAUGGAGAUGAUUCAGAGUGAAACGGCAUCAACUGCUUUGCCUGGAUUUGCGAGAACUCCUAUGGUGAGGCAACUAACGGUAACUGACUCGCCUUUCCUCUUAGAGAUGGAGAGAGUAAUAGUCACGUGGAUGAGAAAGCUCAUAAAUUCAUUUGAACUUUCUACAUAGAUUUGAGAUGAGAAGCUUCCAUUUUUCCUUAAUUGAAGAUAGUCUUUGGAACUUCGAUUAAGAAGAAGAAGGAAAGGAGUAUUUUGUUUGGGGGUGGG
This 7745-nucleotide long non-coding RNA is filed under the name Nicotiana benthamiana. Its description in RNAcentral is "long non-coding RNA (NBEN_LNC037315)". The record is from RNAcentral. Lineage: Eukaryota; Viridiplantae; Streptophyta; Magnoliopsida; Solanales; Solanaceae.